GGAUCAAUAUGUUGGUCGUGCCUUGGUACGUACUAAUUUAUUAGUUUCUUCCUUCUGACGAACCAUGAUGUCAUUAAUUUGGUGUCGUGGAGAAUCAGGACUUUUACUUUGAAAAAAUUAGAGUGUUUAAAGCAGGCAUUAGCUUGAAUACAUUAGCAUGGAAUAAUGAAAUAGGACGUUUGAUCCUAUUUUGUUGGUUUCUAGGAUUGACGUA
This 214-nucleotide ribosomal RNA is filed under the name Campeiostachys nutans. RNAcentral's name for it is "Elymus nutans partial small subunit ribosomal RNA". The stretch from base 45 to 214 matches the Rfam family "Eukaryotic small subunit ribosomal RNA", at positions 693 to 864 of the family's 1831-position model. Lineage: Eukaryota; Viridiplantae; Streptophyta; Magnoliopsida; Poales; Poaceae. The record is from RNAcentral.